This 337-nucleotide ribosomal RNA is filed under the name uncultured bacterium. Its description in RNAcentral is "bacterial SSU rRNA". It matches the Rfam family "Bacterial small subunit ribosomal RNA", at positions 28 to 346 of the family's 1533-position model. The record is from RNAcentral.
GACGAACGCUGGCGGCGUGCCUAAUACAUGCAAGUCGAACGGUCUUUUCUAUGGAAGCUUGCUUCCACUGAGAAGAUAGUGGCGGACGGGUGAGUAACACGUGGGUAACCUGCCCAUAAGAGGGGGAUAACAUCCGGAAACGGGUGCUAAUACCGCAUAGUUUUCUUGAUCGCAUGAUUGAGAAAGGAAAGACGGCCUUUGUGCUGUCGCUUAUGGAUGGACCCGCGGCGUAUUAGUUAGUUGGUAGGGUAAGGCCUACCAAGCCAAUGAUCGGUAGCCGGCCUGAGAGGGUGAACGGCCACAUUGGAACUGAGAUACGGUCCAGACUCCUACGGGA